Molecule: ribosomal RNA, 497 nt
Filed under: uncultured bacterium
Lineage: Bacteria
Description: partial 16S ribosomal RNA
Rfam family: Bacterial small subunit ribosomal RNA
Source: RNAcentral
GAUGAACGCUGGCGGCGUGCCUAAUACAUGCAAGUCGAGCGAACGGACGAGAAGCUUGCUUCUCUGAUGUUAGCGGCGGACGGGUGAGUAACACGUGGAUAACCUACCUAUAAGACUGGGAUAACUUCGGGAAGCCGGAGCUAAUACCGGAUAAUAUUUUGAACCGCAUGGUUCAAAAGUGAAAGACGGUCUUGCUGUCACUUAUAGAUGGAUCCGAGCUGCAUUAGCUAGUUGGUAAGGUAACGGCUUACCAAGGCAACGAUGCAUAGCCGACCUGAGAGGGUGAUCGGCCACACUGGAACUGAGACACGGUCCAGACUCCUACGGGAGGCAGCAGUAGGGAAUCUUCCGCAAUGGGCGAAAGCCUGACGGAGCAACGCCGCGUGAGUGAUGAAGGUCUUCGGAUCGUAAAACUCUGUUAUUAGGGAAGAACAUAUGUGUAAGUAACCGUGCACAUCUUGACGGUACCUAAUCAGAAAGCAACGGCUAACUACGUG